GAUGAACGCUGGCGGCGUGCCUAAUACAUGCAAGUCGAGCGAACAGACGAGGAGCUUGCUCCUCUGACGUUAGCGGCGGACGGGUGAGUAACACGUGGAUAACCUACCUAUAAGACUGGGAUAACUUCGGGAAACCGGAGCUAAUACCGGAUAAUAUAUUGAACCGCGUGGUUCAAUAGUGAAAGACGGUUUUGCUGUCACUUAUAGAUGGAUCCGCGCCGCAUUAGCUAGUUGGUAAGGUAACGGCUUACCAAGGCAACGAUGCGUAGCCGACCUGAGAGGGUGAUCGGCCACACUGGAACUGAGACACGGUCCAGACUCCUACGGGAGGCCGCAGUAGGGAAUCUUCCGCAAUAGGCGAAAGCCUGACGGAGCAACGCCGCGUGAGUGAUGAAGGUCUUCGGAUCGUAAAACUCUGUUAUUAGGGAAGAACAAAUGUGUAAGUAACUAUGCACGUCUUGACGGUACCUAAUCAGAAAGCCACGGCUAACUACGUG
RNAcentral lists this ribosomal RNA (497 nucleotides) under uncultured bacterium. RNAcentral's name for it is "partial 16S ribosomal RNA". It matches the Rfam family "Bacterial small subunit ribosomal RNA", at positions 28 to 507 of the family's 1533-position model. The record is from RNAcentral.